Molecule: long non-coding RNA, 1023 nt
Organism: Trachemys scripta elegans
Lineage: Eukaryota; Metazoa; Chordata; Testudines; Emydidae
Exons: 3
Source: RefSeq, a predicted model, not a curated record
AAGUUAUGAAUGUAGAGACGAGGUAAAGAAUAGGUCAAGCAUGGACAGUAUUGUUCCAAUGUAUAUUAAGCAUUAUGAAUCAAAACAAUGGAAGCCCCAUGUACAUAUGAAUCAGUAGGGGAAUAGGAAGUCAACAGGAAGUGAAGAACAGCAGGAAGCCUUCCUGUCUCUUGUAACAGGGUCAAUGAACUUUGGGAGAUCUAAACAGAAAGCUACUUUAGUAUUCAUCACUUGGGGAUUAAAGGUUCCAGAGCUCUUGAAGUCACAGAGCAUUGGAUCCUUCAACCAAGAGGGCUGAAGUCCCUUGGAACUGAGUUUAGGAGACGCCCAUAGCUAGCUUUCCAGUGGCAACAAAGGAAGUGACCCACACUCAAACGGGCCUUAAGCAACCAUCACGAGCCAUUGACCAGCAGGGGAAUUGUAAACAAGAGAUUUACAAUUCUGUGAGAGACAGUAGUGCAAGCACUACACAACAAGGAUUGCUUAACUCUGACUCAGUUGCACAAGCACCAUACAAUGGAGACUGCUCAACUCUGUGACUCAGCAAGGCCCAUCAGGACACAUCUGGGCCAGUAUCUUCCCUGGGCUAUGAAUUGAGAGUAUAAAAUAAGGGACAGUGUCAUCGUGAGACCACCUCUUUCCUCCCCCACCUACUCUGAAGGCAACAAGAGCUCUGGGACGACAAAGACUUUGAACUGAGGAAACUGGUCCCAGGCUGAGAAGGAAAUUCAGCAUGUGUAUUAAGAACUGUAACCUACCUGCAACAUCCAGUGGGAGGACUAGCAACGGAACUUGGGAUCCUGGCCAAUGGCCUGGAAAAUGGAUACCCCAGGAACUGGUGACCAGGAGGCCCAGCUUGGAUGCCACAGCCAGUUCUGGCCAGCGGGAGGACAAUGGGCUGCGGAGAGAGGACCCCAGUGACCUUUCCAGACAGUGGUGAACAAAAGAUGGCUGAGAGGAGAGGAGGCCCAGGCGAUCCUGAUUACCUGGACAGAAGACAAAGGACAGAGGCGGGGCUUUGGG